RNAcentral lists this ribosomal RNA (497 nucleotides) under uncultured bacterium. RNAcentral's name for it is "partial 16S ribosomal RNA". It matches the Rfam family "Bacterial small subunit ribosomal RNA", at positions 28 to 507 of the family's 1533-position model. The record is from RNAcentral.
GAUGAACGCUGGCGGCGUGCCUAAUACAUGCAAGUCGAGCGAACAGACGAGGAGCUUGCUCCUCUGACGUUAGCGGCGGACGGGUGAGUAACACGUGGAUAACCUACCUAUAAGACUGGAAUAACUUCGGGAAACCGGAGCUAAUACCGGAUAAUAUAUUGAACCGCAUGGUUCAAUAGUGAAAGACGGUUUUGCUGUCACUUAUAGAUGGAUCCGCGCCGCAUUAGCUAGUUGGUAAGGUAACGGCUUACCAAGGCAACGAUGCGUAGCCGACCUGAGAGGGUGAUCGGCCACACUGGAACUGAGACACGGUCCAGACUCCUAAGGGAGGCAGCAGUAGGGAAUCUUCCGCAAUGGGCGAAAGCCUGACGGAGCAACGCCGCGUGAGUGAUGAAGGUCUUCGGAUCGUAAAACUCUGUUAUUAGGGAAGAACAAAUGUGUAAGUAACUAUGCACGUCUUGACGGUACCUAAUCAGAAAGCCACGGCUAACUACGUG